GGCAAAGCUUGUGACUCAUAGCAACUUUUGCUUCAACAAACCAAAGGCAGAAAAAAAAUUGAUAACCACUGUUUUAAGCCAAAUAAAACAAAACAAAAAAAACACUUGUGUCAAUUGAUCCAAAAAGGAUGAAAGGCUGAAGCAGUAUGUUUCUGGGUGGAGGUCAAAAUAAAUAAUAUCAGCAGUCUCACUUUUCUUACCCAUCUUGGGCUAAAUUGGGCCUCAAAGGAAGGUCAGUAGCAGAAGAAAUAGAAGAAUUCACCACUUGCCCCAGCUUCCUACUCCUGAGUUAAUUGACCUACAUCCAAAGUGAAAAGUUAUUCAGCCUCUGAAGAGAAGCAUUUUGUUUGGGGAUCUUCAAGUAUGCUUGUCAGCCACAUACAGGGGGAAGACAAUGUAAAGACACAGGAUGAAGGUGGCCAUCUACAAGCCAUGGAGAGAUGCCUGGAACAGAUUCUUCCUUCAGGACCCUCAAAACGAACCAAUCCUGCUGACACCUUGACCUCAA
RNAcentral lists this long non-coding RNA (508 nucleotides) under Homo sapiens (human). Its description in RNAcentral is "HSALNT0202248". The record is from RNAcentral. Lineage: Eukaryota; Metazoa; Chordata; Mammalia; Primates; Hominidae.